Molecule: microRNA, 21 nt
Filed under: Mus musculus (house mouse)
Lineage: Eukaryota; Metazoa; Chordata; Mammalia; Rodentia; Muridae
Description: mmu-miR-7076-3p
Source: miRBase by way of RNAcentral
UGACUACCACUGUCUCCCCAG